This 73-nucleotide transfer RNA is filed under the name Coleochaete scutata. RNAcentral describes it as "tRNA-Ile". It matches the Rfam family "tRNA". From Rfam's summary of the family: Transfer RNA (tRNA) molecules are approximately 80 nucleotides in length. Lineage: Eukaryota; Viridiplantae; Streptophyta; Coleochaetophyceae; Coleochaetales; Coleochaetaceae. The record is from RNAcentral.
GGGCUUGUAGAUCAAUGGUUAGAUCGCGCCGCUCAUAACGGCCAGGUUGCAGGUUCGAGUCCUGCUAGGCCCA